AUUGAACGCUGGCGGCAGGCCUAACACAUACAAGUCGAGCGGAUGACGGGAGCUUGCUCCUUGAUUCAGCGGCGGACGGGUGAGUAAUGCCUAGGAAUCUGCCUGGUAGUGGGGGACAACGUUUCGAAAGGAACGCUAAUACCGCAUACGUCCUACGGGAGAAAGCAGGGGACCUUCGGGCCCUGCGCUAUCAGAUGAGCCUAGGUCGGAUUAGCUAGUUGGUGGGGUAAUGGCUCACCAAGGCGACGAUCCGUAACUGGUCUGAGAGGAUGAUCAGUCACACUGGAACUGAGACACGGUCCAGACUCCUACGGGAGGCAGCAGUGGGGAAUAUUGGACAAUGGGCGAAAGCCUGAUCCAGCCAUGCCGCGUGUGUGAAGAAGGUCUUCGGAUUGUAAAGCACUUUAAGUUGGGAGGAAGGGCAGUAAGUUAAUACCUUGCUGUUUUGACGUUACCGGCAGAAUAAGCACCGGCUAACUCUGUGCCAGCAGCCGCCGUAA
RNAcentral lists this ribosomal RNA (500 nucleotides) under uncultured bacterium. RNAcentral describes it as "partial 16S ribosomal RNA". It matches the Rfam family "Bacterial small subunit ribosomal RNA", at positions 30 to 523 of the family's 1533-position model. The record is from RNAcentral.